GGUUAAGCGACUAAGCGUACACGGUGGAUGCCCUGGCAGUCAGAGGCGAUGAAGGACGUGCUAAUCUGCGAAAAGCGUCGGUAAGGUGAUAUGAACCGUUAUAGCCGGCGAUGUCCGAAUGGGGAAACCCAGUGUGAUUCGUCACACUAUCGUUAACUGAAUACAUAGGUUAACGAGGCGAACCGGGGGAACUGAAACAUCUAAGUACCCCGAGGAAAAGAAAUCAACCGAGAUUCCCCCAGUAGCGGCGAGCGAACGGGGAGCAGCCCAGAGUCUGAAUCAGCUUGUGUGUUAGUGGAACGGUCUGGAAAGUCCGACGGUACAGGGUGAUAGUCCCGUACACCAAAAUGCACAGGUUGUGAACUCGAAGAGUAGGGCGGGACACGUGGUAUCCUGUCUGAAUAUGGGGGGACCAUCCUCCAAGGCUAAAUACUCCUGACUGACCGAUAGUGAACCAGUACCGUGAGGGAAAGGCGAAAAGAACCCCGGCGAGGGGAGUGAAAAAGAACCUGAAACCGUGUACGUACAAGCAGUGGGAGCACCUUCGGGUGUGACUGCGUACCUUUUGUAUAAUGGGUCAGCGACUUAUAUUCUGUAGCAAGGUUAACCGUAUAGGGGAGCCGCAGGGAAACCGAGUCUUAACUGGGCGUUAAGUUGCAGGGUAUAGACCCGAAACCCGGUGAUCUAGCCAUGGGCAGGUUGAAGGUUGGGUAACACUAACUGGAGGACCGAACCGACUAAUGUUGAAAAAUUAGCGGAUGACUUGUGGCUGGGGGUGAAAGGCCAAUCAAACCGGGAGAUAGCUGGUUCUCCCCGAAAGCUAUUUAGGUAGCGCCUCGUGAACUCAUCUUCGGGGGUAGAGCACUGUUUCGGCUAGGGGGUCAUCCCGACUUACCAACCCGAUGCAAACUACGAAUACCGAAGAAUGUUAUCACGGGAGACACACGGCGGGUGCUAACGUCCGUCGUGAAGAGGGAAACAACCCAGACCGCCAGCUAAGGUCCCAAAGUCAUGGUUAAGUGGGAAACGAUGUGGGAAGGCACAGACAGCCAGGAUGUUGGCUUAGAAGCAGCCAUCAUUUAAAGAAAGCGUAAUAGCUCACUGGUCGAGUCGGCCUGCGCGGAAGAUGUAACGGGGCUAAACCAUGCACCGAAGCUGCGGCAGCGACACUAUGUGUUGUUGGGUAGGGGAGCGUUCUGUAAGCCUGCGAAGGUGACCUGUGAGGGUUGCUGGAGGUAUCAGAAGUGCGAAUGCUGACAUAAGUAACGAUAAAGCGGGUGAAAAGCCCGCUCGCCGGAAGACCAAGGGUUCCUGUCCAACGUUAAUCGGGGCAGGGUGAGUCGACCCCUAAGGCGAGGCCGAAAGGCGUAGUCGAUGGGAAACAGGUUAAUAUUCCUGUACUUGGUGUUACUGCGAAGGGGGGACGGAGAAGGCUAUGUUAGCCGGGCGACGGUUGUCCCGGUUUAAGCAUGUAGGCUGGUUGUCCAGGCAAAUCCGGAUAAUCAAGGCUGAGGUGUGAUGACGAGGCACUACGGUGCUGAAGUAACAAAUGCCCUGCUUCCAGGAAAAGCCUCUAAGCAUCAGGUAACAUCAAAUCGUACCCCAAACCGACACAGGUGGUCAGGUAGAGAAUACCAAGGCGCUUGAGAGAACUCGGGUGAAGGAACUAGGCAAAAUGGUGCCGUAACUUCGGGAGAAGGCACGCUGGUGUGUAGGUGAAGUCCCUGCGGAUGGAGCUGAGACCAGUCGAAGAUACCAGCUGGCUGCAACUGUUUAUUAAAAACACAGCACUGUGCAAACACGAAAGUGGACGUAUACGGUGUGACGCCUGCCCGGUGCCGGAAGGUUAAUUGAUGGGGUUAUCCGUAAGGAGAAGCUCUUGAUCGAAGCCCCGGUAAACGGCGGCCGUAACUAUAACGGUCCUAAGGUAGCGAAAUUCCUUGUCGGGUAAGUUCCGACCUGCACGAAUGGCGUAAUGAUGGCCAGGCUGUCUCCACCCGAGACUCAGUGAAAUUGAACUCGCUGUGAAGAUGCAGUGUACCCGCGGCAAGACGGAAAGACCCCGUGAACCUUUACUAUAGCUUGACACUGAACAUUGAGCCUUGAUGUGUAGGAUAGGUGGGAGGCUUUGAAGCGUGGACGCCAGUCUGCGUGGAGCCAACCUUGAAAUACCACCCUUUAAUGUUUGAUGUUCUAACGUUGGCCCCUGACCGGGGUUGCGGACAGUGUCUGGUGGGUAGUUUGACUGGGGCGGUCUCCUCCCAAAGCGUAACGGAGGAGCACGAAGGUUAGCUAAUCCUGGUCGGACAUCAGGAGGUUAGUGCAAUGGCAUAAGCUAGCUUGACUGCGAGCGUGACGGCGCGAGCAGGUGCGAAAGCAGGUCAUAGUGAUCCGGUGGUUCUGAAUGGAAGGGCCAUCGCUCAACGGAUAAAAGGUACUCCGGGGAUAACAGGCUGAUACCGCCCAAGAGUUCAUAUCGACGGCGGUGUUUGGCACCUCGAUGUCGGCUCAUCACAUCCUGGGGCUGAAGUAGGUCCCAAGGGUAUGGCUGUUCGCCAUUUAAAGUGGUACGCGAGCUGGGUUUAGAACGUCGUGAGACAGUUCGGUCCCUAUCUGCCGUGGGCGCUGGAGAAUUGAGGGGGGCUGCUCCUAGUACGAGAGGACCGGAGUGGACGCAUCACUGGUGUUCGGGUUGUCAUGCCAAUGGCACUGCCCGGUAGCUAAAUGCGGAAGAGAUAAGUGCUGAAAGCAUCUAAGCACGAAACUUGCCCCGAGAUGAGUUCUCCCUGAGACUUUAAGUCUCCUGAAGGAACGUUAAAGACGAUGACGUUGAUAGGCCGGGUGUGUAAGCGCAGCGAUGCGUUGAGCUAACCGGUACUAAUGAACCGUGAGGCUUAACCUU
Molecule: ribosomal RNA, 2902 nt
Filed under: Klebsiella pneumoniae
Lineage: Bacteria; Pseudomonadati; Pseudomonadota; Gammaproteobacteria; Enterobacterales; Enterobacteriaceae
Description: 23S ribosomal RNA
Rfam family: Bacterial large subunit ribosomal RNA
Source: RNAcentral